Zalophus californianus (California sea lion) is the source of this 2705-nucleotide long non-coding RNA. RefSeq lists it as uncharacterized. The record is from RefSeq and is a predicted model, not a curated record. NCBI's taxonomy places the organism in Eukaryota, Metazoa, Chordata, Mammalia, Carnivora, Otariidae. The transcript is spliced from 3 exons.
GAACAUGAAUCAGAUCAUUGGAAGGCUUUCUGGAUCUGGAAGUUUCCUGAUAAAGGUGGUGUUUACCCAGGGAGAGGGCAGAGAUGGGAGAUUAAUCCAUGGAAGGAACAAUUAAACAAAGGCACAGAAGUCAGAAUGUAUAGCAUUUAUUGGGAAAGAGCAAACAUCCGUUUCCACCCCAUUUUAUUCUUAAAAAAAAAAAAAAGAAUUUGUGCAGUGAGGAGUCAAGUAUGCCUGGGAUGCAAAUUGUUAAAGAGAUUCAUGGGAAGUUCAUAAAAUUCAUUAAGGAGAGUGGGGUGAUUAUGGAGCAUGGAUAUAAGAGGAAAGAAUUUGAAUUUAAUUCUGUAGGGAAUGAGGAAUCCCGCCUGGAUUUGGCACAAGAAGAGAAACAUAAACAGAGUUGUGGUGUAGGUACAGCCAACCCUGGCUGCAGUACAUAAAAUGGAUCGGUGUGGUGCAUCUAAGAGAGAGCAAAGCAAUCGAGAGAUUCAUCGAGAGAAUGUCUGCAGCAAAGUUCCGAGGAGGACAGAACCAGGGCUCCCACAGCAGAAGCAGGGAAGGGGAGGGACACACAGGCUUGACUUUUCAGACCUUAUGCAGCCGGGUCCUUGUUCUUACUGGAGAGGGGCCGACAGGAAGAGGAAGAGCCCAUGUCAACCUGAGUAUUUCCUGCUUAGGUGACCAGAAGGAUAGUGAAGCCAGUGACAGGGAAUUUAGGAUGGGCCCAAAUGAGAGGUUUAACUGGAAAAAAAAAACCUUAUUAGAUAUCAUCUAAAGCAGACAUCAGUGCUGAAAAUGAGUCAGCCACCAAGGGACUAACUUUCUGGCCAUCUAGCUAAGAACAGUGGAUUCAACCUCAGGGUCUUCAGCGCCUCUGAAAUCCACCGGAAGCGGCAGCACUGCCAAUAACAUCAUCCCCUCAAACGAGCCCGUGACCUAAACAUGGCGCUACAUGCAGUUUGGAUAAAUACCCUACACUUAUUUUGUGUGUUCUGCUUUGCACACAACUUUCACAGCGUUCUGAUUUUUCUUUCACAGCUAUCUCAUGACAUAGGUAUUCCAAUUUCCACUAUACAGGCAAGGCAACUCAGGAGGAGACAGGAGAAGGGGCAGGUCUAAGUCACACUUCCAGUGAAGACUCAAGCCUGCUCCCUGCCUUCAAGCUUUGUUCUCUUUCCCCUGUCACUCAAGUGCAAGACUCGCGCUUUUUUUUUUUUCCUGAGGCAGAUUAAGGAUAAGUCAAUGUAUGUAUGUAUUUAAAGGAUAAGAUAAUUUAACUGAAAUCGGCAAUGGAGACCAGAGAACAGUGAGAGAGAAACUCAGAGUGAAAAAUUCAGGGCAGGGAAAUUUCCUUCCUGGGUUACAACUUGGAAGAACCAUCUGCUCUCCCUCCCUAAGCCUCUGCCAAGUUUGCUCUGCCCUGAGCUAGUUCCCAUGGUUGGGCAGCUCCAAGAAGGCCGUGAAGUGGGAGAAUGGCAGGGGAGAAGCUGCUGGGAAUCAGUAGGAUUUUCUCCGAUUGUGUCUCCACAUCUGCCUCCCCGCCCCUUCUUCUGUCUCUUUGCUGCUGACUUCAGCAGACAGGCUCAGGUCAACCUAUUAGUUUGCAAGGGUGCAGAGAGACCAGAAGAGGGCGCUGCAGAUGUCUUGGUGGUGGAGGCAUAGCUCCCUCCCUCCUCGAGGCUCUGUGGACGGGACCAGUAUUCUGCGAAGCUCGAACGUACACUUGCUGGUGUGGUGUGGACUGCGUUGUAGGGAGGCCCAAAGAGAAACUACUAGACAAAUGAGUGGCUAAGAGCACAGCCUCUGCAGUUAGACCUUCGGGUUCAAUUCCAGUGUUGCCAUUUUUCAGCUGGGGGACCUUGAACAAGUUAGUCUUUGCUGUGGUUUGAGUGUUUGUGUCCCUCCAAAUUCAUGUGUCGAAAUCCUAAUGCCAAUGUGAUAUUGUUAGGAGAUGGGGCCUUUGGAAGGUGGUCAGGUCGUGAGGGUUUGACCCUCAUGAAGCGGAUCAGUAUUCUUAUAAAUGAGAUCCCAGAGAGAGCCCUCUCCCCUUGUACGGUGUGAGGGCACAGCAAGAAGACACAGACUCUGAACCAGGAAGGGGGCUCUCACCAGAGCCUGACUCUGCUUUGCGCUUGGAUUUUUGCCCCCAGAAUUGUGAGAAAUAAAAUUUCUGGUGGGUUUAAGCCACCCAGCCUGUGGUAUCUUGUUGUGCAGCUUUGACAGACUAAGACACCUUUCUGUGCCUGCUUUCUCACCUUCAAAAAAGAAGAUGAUAUUACCCAUCCCCAGGGAUGUUAUGAGGAGCAAAUGAGUUGACACGCGUAGAACACUGAGCACAGUGCCUGGCACAGAACGACCACUGUGAGGAUUCUCCAUUGUGAUCUGUACAGAGCCCUUGCCUGUCCCAGACACCACCUGACUGCUCACACAGGGGAACCCUUCGUCUAGGUUGAACAUUGCCUUUCCCGGGCAACAGCUGUCAGACCACUUGCCCACAUAGAGCCUCCAGCAUCUCACCAAUUACAGUGUAGGUGUUCUGAACCUGUAACAACCUGCUCGUUUUCAUGGAGGUUUCUGCUCAGAGGAGGAUUUUAAGCAAGAACAUAUAACAAGCAGUGAGGCAAAGAAGAGCAUGUCACAUUUGAAGAAGAGGAGGUGUUUGGAGGGCCUGAAGCACAAGGGGUAGAAUGAUAGAACUUGCAGGG